GAGUAGUACAAGUUAUUAUCUUUAAACUCAAAAAAUUUGGCGGUAUUUUAUCUUAUUAGAGGAACCUGUUUAUUAAUUGAUAAUCCACAACUUAAAUUUACUUUUAAAAUUAUAUUUGUAUACCGCUGUCAUGAAUCUAUUAAGAAAUUUUAUUUUCUAUCAUUUAUAUAAAAUUUAUGUUAGGUCAAGGUGCAGUAUUUAAAAGUUUUAAUGGGUUACUUUAUUAUAAUGAAUGGAAAUUUAGAUUUGUUAUUUUUUUUGAAAAAGGAUUUAAUAGUAAAAUAAUUUUUAAGAAAUAAAAUGAAUAUAGAUUCUAAAAUAUG
RNAcentral lists this ribosomal RNA (323 nucleotides) under Acizzia hollisi. RNAcentral's name for it is "partial 12S ribosomal RNA". Lineage: Eukaryota; Metazoa; Arthropoda; Insecta; Hemiptera; Psyllidae. The record is from RNAcentral.